Molecule: long non-coding RNA, 874 nt
Organism: Mastomys coucha (southern multimammate mouse)
Lineage: Eukaryota; Metazoa; Chordata; Mammalia; Rodentia; Muridae
Exons: 4
Source: RefSeq, a predicted model, not a curated record
GGAUGGUACUGGAGUAGGAGCUGAGCAUUCUAUAGGCAACAGAAGGGAGUGUGUGUCACAAUGGGUGUAGCUUAAACAUAUAUGACCUCAAAACCCAUGUCUAUAGUGACAUGCUUCCUCCAACAAGGCCACACCUAGGCCACACCACAACAGCUGUACUGCCUUGUAGAGCUACUCCCUAUGGCCAACUAUUCAAAUGUUUGAGUCUAUGGGGGCCAUUCCUAUCAAAUAGCCAUAUCAAGCAACUGUUAUUUUAUAUUUCUACCAAUCAUAUGCAUGUAGGACUCAAGGGACAACUUUUGGGAGUCAGAUCUCUCCUAUGAUAUAUGUUCUGGGGAUAGAACACAGAUUGUCAGUUUUGGUUGCAAGUACUUCAACUCUCCGAUACAUCUCACCAAUCUAGUUUAUAUAAUGCUAGCAUUCCUUCUAGUCUCCGCUUCAGGUACCUGGCAACAGCUAGCACAAAGUAAACCAUGUGGAAAACAAUCUGAAAAGAUGCUGUGGGAGCACCAAGUUCUUUUGUCAAAGACAUUUCAAUUAUUAGUUCAUCAACAUAUACACUAAAAAGUAGAUUCUUCCUCAGUCAACAGAACUGAAAGGAGAACCAUCCAGUUUUGUGGAAUCUGCACAAGCUGAAGCCUCAGAGAACACAAGAAAAAUAUUGAAGGAAAUGAAUGAGUUGAAUCUGAAGACUCUAGACCAGAAACAAAAAUAUUUUGAGGCUUCUUUGAGAAAAUUGACUGAUUAGAGAGACAAGGAUACACAAAGCUAAUUGUAGAGCAAGAGGAGACAUUUAAGAGUAAGCUUCACAAACAAGAACUAUUCAAUGAAAAAAAAUCCGUAAACCAAAUAAACAAUAUCAGGAAGAAAUUAG